Molecule: ribosomal RNA, 406 nt
Filed under: uncultured bacterium
Lineage: Bacteria
Description: partial 16S ribosomal RNA
Rfam family: Bacterial small subunit ribosomal RNA
Source: RNAcentral
AUUGAACGCUGGCGGCAGGCCUAACACAUGCAAGUAGAACGAGUGGCGGACGGGUGAGUAAUGUCUGGGAAACUGCCUGAUGGAGGGGGAUAACUACUGGAAACGGUAGCUAAUACCGCAUACCAUCGGAUGUGCCCAGAUGGGAUUAGCGAGGCGGGGGGGUAAAGGCUCACCUAGGCGCCGAUCCCUAGCUGGUCUGAGAGGAGGACCAGCCAAACUGGAACUGAGACACGGUCCAGACGCCUACGGGAGGCAGCAGUGGGGAAUAGUGCACAAUGGGCGCAAGCCUGAUGCAGCCAUGCCGCGUGUGUGAAGAAGGCCUUCGGGUUGUAAAGUACUUUCAGCGGGGAGGCGUGACCCGCAGAAGAAGCACCGGCUAACUCCGUGCCAGCAGCCGCGGUAAUAC